Molecule: long non-coding RNA, 305 nt
Filed under: Elaeis guineensis (African oil palm)
Lineage: Eukaryota; Viridiplantae; Streptophyta; Magnoliopsida; Arecales; Arecaceae
Description: long non-coding RNA (EGUI_LNC029519)
Source: RNAcentral
CUAAGUAGCAGUCAAAAAUUUGUAUCCAUUUUUUAUGAUAUUAUGCAUGGAUCAGCAUGGCUAAUUUUUUAAUAAAAAGUCCACAUGAAGACUAGCAUAGAUCAGGGUCCUUGGAGGUGCUAGCCUGUAAGAAAAUUCGAGGCUGGUUUCUUCCUUCUUCUUUAAAGGCCAUGGACGCUUCAAAGGAUGAAGAGAUCUGGAUCAUGGAUGCUUCAAAGGAUGAAGAGAUCUAGAGGACAAAGAGAGAAAGAAGAGGAGAAUCUCUAGAAAAACAAAAACCAGCAAGGGAACAGAGAUGUGACACC